This 468-nucleotide ribosomal RNA is filed under the name uncultured bacterium. RNAcentral's name for it is "partial 16S ribosomal RNA". It matches the Rfam family "Bacterial small subunit ribosomal RNA", at positions 28 to 507 of the family's 1533-position model. The record is from RNAcentral.
GACGAACGCUGGCGGCGUGCUUAACACAUGCAAGUCGAACGGAAAGGCCCGGCUUUUGUGGGGUGCUCGAGUGGCGAACGGGUGAGUAACACGUGAGUAACCUGCCCUUGUCUGUGGGAUAACUUCAGGAAACUGGGGCUAAUACCGGAGAGGAUCUCCUGCUGCAUGGGGGGGGUUGGAAAGUUUCGGCGGUUGGGGAUGGACUCGCGGCUUAUCAGCUUGUUGGUGGGGUAGUGGCUUACCAAGGCUUUGACGGGUAGCCGGCCUGAGAGGGUGACCGGCGACAUGGGGACUGAGAUACGGCCCAGACUCCUACGGGAGGCAGAAGUGGGGAAUCUUGCACAAUGGGCCGGAGCCUGAUGCAGCAACGCCGGGUGCGGGAUGACGGCUUUCGGGUUGUAAACCGCUUUCGACUGUGACGAAGCGUGAGUGACGGUACUGGGUCAGGAAGCACCGGCUAACUACGUG